AGAGUUUGAUCCUGGCUCAGAACGAACGCUGGCGGCAGGCUUAACACAUGCAAGUCGAACGCCCCGCAAGGGGAGUGGCAGACGGGUGAGUAACGCGUGGGAACGUGCCCUUCGGUUCGGAAUAACUCAGGGAAACUUGAGCUAAUACCGGAUACGUGCGAGAGCAGAAAGAUUUAUCGCCGAAGGAUCGGCCCGCGUCCGAUUAGCUAGUUGGUGAGGUAAUGGCUCACCAAGGCGACGAUCGGUAGCUGGUCUGAGAGGAUGAUCAGCCACAUUGGGACUGAGACACGGCCCAAACUCCUAUGGGAGGCAGCAGUGGGGAAUAUUGGACAAUGGGCGCAAGCCUGAUCCAGCCAUGCCGCGUGAGUGAUGAAGGCCUUAGGGUUGUAAAGCUCUUUCGCCAGGGACGAUAAUGACGGUACCUGGAUAAGAAGCCCCGGCUAACUUCGUGCCAGCAGCCGCGGUAAUACGAAGGGGGCUAGCGUUGUUCGGAUUUACUGGGCGUAAAGCGCACGUAGGCGGAUCUUUAAGUCAGGGGUGAAAUCCCGAGGCUCAACCUCGGAACUGCCUUUGAUACUGGAGGUCUCGAGUCCGGGAGAGGUGAGUGGAACUGCGAGUGUAGAGGUGAAAUUCGUAGAUAUUCGCAAGAACACCAGUGGCGAAGGCGGCUCACUGGCCCGGUACUGACGCUGAGGUGCGAAAGCGUGGGGAGCAAACAGGAUUAGAUACCCUGGUAGUCCACGCCGUAAACGAUGGAUGCUAGCCGUUGGGGAGCUUGCUCUUCAGUGGCGCAGCUAACGCUUUAAGCAUCCCGC
This 815-nucleotide ribosomal RNA is filed under the name uncultured bacterium. RNAcentral's name for it is "bacterial SSU rRNA". It matches the Rfam family "Bacterial small subunit ribosomal RNA", at positions 8 to 872 of the family's 1533-position model. The record is from RNAcentral.